Molecule: long non-coding RNA, 2641 nt
Organism: Melospiza melodia melodia
Lineage: Eukaryota; Metazoa; Chordata; Aves; Passeriformes; Passerellidae
Exons: 3
Source: RefSeq, a predicted model, not a curated record
AAAGACAUUAAGUUUGAUCCGGCACGGCGGAGGAUCUCUCUCUCUCCUCUCUCCUCUCUCUCCCCCCUCUCUCUCACCCCCUCUCUCUCUUUUUUCCCCCCUUUCCCUCGCUUAAAUCUCCUCGCGUCCAGCUAAGCAUGAACUCCAGAGACAGACCCCACCGGAGAGGACUGAGCCAAUUUCUUCAGCUUGCCAGAUCAAUCUGGAUUCCAGCCUGUCCUCCAAUUUGAAAGCAAUCUCUGCAGUAUCAUAGAAUCUGUAGCUGUAGCUGUAUCCUCUAACUUAUGUCACCACUGACGGCAAUAAAAUGAAGAAUGUAAAAUACAGCCAUUUCAGCUGAGUUGUGAGCUAUGACUGCAUGAGGUUAAGGGCUCAUGACAUGUAUGCAUGCUUGCUGCGAACACUACAGAAGAGGUGUUUUUGUAUCAACUCCAAAGAAUUUAGGUGAGAGCAAAUGCCUUUUUCACUUUUUGGUUCUGUUUGCCUUGACAUAAUUCUGCUAUCCAAAACCCCAAGGGAAAAUAUUUCAACAAAGAGACAGUCUUUGGUGAUUAAACUGUCAUGAAACAGAGAUGAAGUUGGUGGGAUCAAUUGGCUCUCACCGUGCCUUGACGCAGCUGUGGCUUGGAUGAGCAGGACUGGUUAUGACUCAAUCUGACUAGGAUGGGAUCAUGCCAGAGGUCAGGGGAACCAGCUACUUACAGAAGCACAGGCAGGUCUUUUCUCCUUCAGGUUUUCCUAUUUUAACGCUGGUGAUUUGUCACACUUACAGAAUGAAGAAAGUGUCCCCAGCACAGUCUUCAUCAUCAUGGACCCCUGUUACUUGGAGUGAUGCUGUUGCAGUCCAGCACCUCCAACCCUCAUCUUUAGCAGGACCAAUGCAAGGAUCUGAAAGAUCUCUUUGCAAGAGACAGCCAAAGCUUGGGGAGCCACCCUGGUUUCCUAGGUUACUUGAGCAGACAGGCCAGGACCUCAUUUUAAGGGAUUCUUACAUGGCUCCAUUACUGAAGCAACUGAAAAUCAGUGAAAACGCUGGUAAAGGUGAUGUCUGUCAUUCCAUAUUCUGGCUCUGCCCUAUUUUCUUCUUUGCCUUUUAUUUUAACCCUCCUGAAGGAACAGUGUCUCAGCCUCAUCCGAUAGUGUCCUUGUGUAAUAGCAAAGAGGCUUCAACUGCUGACUUUGAGACAUGGUGCUCUGUUGAAUAGUGAGGGAACUGUAUUAUGGAGAUAAAUUUUUGUCUCAGUUCAGUAAACUCCACGAUUUGUUGACCAGCAAAUGAUGUCAUGAACCCUGUUGACUCUCCCCACAGGGCACAAUGUGCAAGAAGUACUCGUGGCUUCUUCUCUUGCAUGGGUUUGAAAGGAUCUGGAAAGACUGCUGCAUACUGACAUGAAGAGACUGCUUUGAACACAAACACGUAUCACAGCAAAGUUUAAAGAAACGUCAAACUUCUGAACUAAUAAAGUAAAACUGGAAUGAUGUGCAUAUCAAUAAAGGCAAGAAACUAUGCCCAUAUGGCUUGGCUUAGUGGUCUUUCUGUGCGAAUCCUUAAACAGGAAUGAAUUCACUCUCUAGCUGGGUUUUGUUAGAGUUUAAAAAGAAACUCAGCAAGGGCUGACCCAAACCGAUGCUGCUUAAAUUGAAUCUAAGCUGUAGCUUCCAUAAAUCAUGUUAGCAGAUUAAAGUUACAAUUGAAAGGUCUUGAUUUGUAGGCACCAGACUGUAAAUUAGCUACUGAAGUAGAGGGCUGUGAAUUUAAGAACCUGACUGGGAACACCCAUCGUAUAUUACAUGUAUUUGGCAAUACGCCUCCAUUAAGGGACCAAAGAAAACAGCACAGCCGUGACUGAUCAAGUGGAAGAGAAGUAAUACAAAACACCCACCACGGUUUUGUUGCUUCUGGAAUAUCCUGGAGAGAGUCAAGACGUGAAAAGUAAGCAAGAGAGUCUGAAUCUUGCCUUUUGGUAAAUAUUCAUCCUUCUGCUGGUGCAAUUCCUUAUUUUUGCAGUAUUCCUGAAAACAUUUUCUCACGUUCUUUGGGCAGAUUCAGGCUCAUACACAUUUUUUGCAGCAGUAGGCCACUCUCUUGGUUCACUAUGGGGGCCCAAUUUGAAAGGUUAACUGCAAAUGCCACGUUAUAAUCAUCUGCAUCUACAUCAAUUAGCUUUUAUGGCUGCCUGUGCUUAAUAUGUGGAGUUCAGCUUUGCAUUUAACACAUUCCUAAAACUAUCUGCAACCCCUCUCUAAGCUUCCUCUCUUCCCGCAAUUUCCUUCACCAUAACAUUUAUUCUGUGCUUGUUGUUUUCUUCUCACACAGUGUAGUAGGCUUAUGGUACACUCUCUGUUUUAGUAAAGUCUGUUUCUUUGCUUAGAAAAGCUGCAAAUAAAUGGCAUAUUUCUUAUGUUGGGAAGAAUGAAUGUGGAAUAUUACAUUAAUCGCUAAGUACAGAACUUCUCAAGUUUCCCAUAUUCACUGGAAAUAUAUGGGGCAUGAAAACUUUAGAGAGACUGAAGAAUGUUUGAGGAGGUUAUUGAACAGCAUAUAAAUAGCUGUGACAUAAUUUGGGAGCAAAUUAUGUCAUGACAGCAUCUUGUGAUGUACUUUGUGCAGUUAAAUGGUCACACUGCAAUGCUGGCUAAA